GCAAAAAUAAAGCAGCAGAAUGAGGACUCAGGGGUAAGAAACCAAAGGCAAUAGAUUGAGAUGCCACAUGCACAUUUCUCAGCUAUCCCCCAGGAGGAGGCAUCCCAGUCAUCCUUGCCAAGACUACCCUAGGUCAGCCAACAGCCAUCCAACCUCCAGCCAGAGUUUAGGUGGCUCCAAGAAGGGAAAUAAUCUGAUAGUUUUGGACAUGAAUUUCAUAGGACUAUGCCUUAUGAUGGAUUUGGUGCUCCAGAAAACUCCAUAGCUCUGACCUUAACCUCUUUCCUUGUUCCUUCUUUAACUCAGGUAAGAUGCACUGGGCUGUUUCUGCAAAUCUUCCUAGCCUGAAAUGAGGACAAUCUGUCUUCUUUUAUUUCUUAACCACUGGAAAUGAGAGUGAAUUCAUCAUAC
This is a non-coding RNA of Microcebus murinus (gray mouse lemur), 411 nucleotides long. The record is from RefSeq and is a predicted model, not a curated record. NCBI's taxonomy places the organism in Eukaryota, Metazoa, Chordata, Mammalia, Primates, Cheirogaleidae.